RNAcentral lists this unclassified non-coding RNA (163 nucleotides) under air metagenome. Its description in RNAcentral is "partial contains small subunit ribosomal RNA, internal transcribed spacer 1, and 5.8S ribosomal RNA". The stretch from base 1 to 46 matches the Rfam family "Eukaryotic small subunit ribosomal RNA", at positions 1786 to 1831 of the family's 1831-position model. The record is from RNAcentral.
AAGUCGUAACAAGGUUUCCGUAGGUGAACCUGCGGAAGGAUCAUUAAUGAAAGCAAUUUCAUACACCGUGAACCGUCGUCUUCGGACGCUUUACAAACUCUAGUGUUGUCAAUGUAUGUCUAUCUUAUAAAUAUAACUUUCAGCAACGGAUCUCUUGGCUCUC